This 1074-nucleotide ribosomal RNA is filed under the name Ortholinea amazonica. RNAcentral describes it as "bacterial SSU rRNA". It matches the Rfam family "Eukaryotic small subunit ribosomal RNA", at positions 395 to 1324 of the family's 1831-position model. Lineage: Eukaryota; Metazoa; Cnidaria; Myxozoa; Bivalvulida; Ortholineidae. The record is from RNAcentral.
CCUGAGAAACGGCUACCACAUCCAAGGGAGGCAGCAGGCGCGCAAAUUACCCAAUCCAGAUUCUAGGAGGUGGUGACGAGAAAUACUAGAUGGUUUCCGUAUGGAUGCCAUACUGGAAUGGACGUAAUUUAAGAAAUUCGAUGAGUAGCAACUGGAGGGCAAGUCUGGUGCCAGCAGCCGCGGUAAUUCCAGCUCCAGUAGUGUACUUUAAAGUUGCUGCGUUUAAAACGCUCGUAGUUGGAUUACGCAGUGUAAAAUAGUUUAUUGGCUUGAUGGUGCAUCAAACCCAGCUCGUAGAAAGGUGGUCGUGGUCAAUCCUAGAUUGCUAAUUUAUUAGUGGGCCAUCACGAGUCGAUAUCAGCUAUUUUGCACUACUUUUCGUGAGGAUGACAGUUGACCCUUAGUGCGUUGAUUGUUGUGUCUUACGAAGUGUGCCUUGAAUAAAUCAGAGUGCUUAAAGCAGGCUUUUGCUUGAAUGUAGAUAGCAUGGAACGAACAAUUGUGUUAAAUGUGUUUAAAGGAAGCUUUUAAGUGGUCUUUUGUUCGCUUGAAGGUGUUCUUUUGAGCACAGCACCAACCACCAUUAUCGGAUGUUGGUUUCCGUGAUGGGGUGAUGAUUAAAAGGAGCGGUUGGGGGCAUUGGUAUUUUGCCGCGAGAGGUAAAAUUCUUGGACCGGCAAAGGACUAACAAAUGCGAAGGCAUCUGUCAAGACCGUUUCCGUUAAUCAAGAACGAUAGUGAGAGGUUCGAAGACGAUCAGAUACCGUCCUAGUUCUCACUGUAAACUAUGCCGACCCGGGAUCAGUUUCGAGCUCAAAAUUGCUCGUGGUUGGUCCCCCUGGGAAACCUCAAGUUUUUAGGUUACGGGGGGAGUAUGGUUGCAAGGCUGAAACUUAAAGGAAUUGACGGAAGGGCACCACCAGGAGUGGAGCCUGCGGCUUAAUUUGACUCAACACGGGAAAACUCACCUGGUCCGGACAUCGAAAGGAUAGACAGACUGAUAGAUCUUUCUUGAUACGGUGGAUGGUGGUGCAUGGCCGUUCUUAGUUCGUGGAGUGAUCUGUCAGGCUAAUC